Molecule: ribosomal RNA, 497 nt
Filed under: uncultured bacterium
Lineage: Bacteria
Description: partial 16S ribosomal RNA
Rfam family: Bacterial small subunit ribosomal RNA
Source: RNAcentral
GAUGAACGCUGGCGGCGUGCCUAAUACAUGCAAGUCGAGCGAACAGACGAGGAGCUUGCUCCUCUGACGUUAGCGGCGGACGGGUGAGUAACACGUGGAUAACCUACCUAUAAGACUGGGAUAACUUCGGGAAACCGGAGCUAAUACCGGAUAAUAUAUUGAACCGCAUGGUUCAAUAGUGAAAUACGGUUUUGCUGUCACUUAUAGAUGGAUCCGCGCCGCAUUAGCUAGUUGGUAAGGUAACGGCUUACCAAGGCAACGAUGCGUAGCCGACCUGAAAGGGUGAUCGGCCACACUGGAACUGAGACACGGUCCAGACUCCUACGGGAGGCAGCAGUAGGGAAUCUUCCGCAAUGGGCGAAAGCCUGACGGAGCAACGCCGCGUGAGUGAUGAAGGUCUUCGGAUCGUAAAACUCUGUUAUUAGGGAAGAACAAAUGUGUAAGUAACUAUGCACGUCUUGACGGUACCUAAUCAGAAAGCCACGGCUAACUACGUG